GAAGAGCAUUGAAACAGCAAGACUUGAGUACAGGAGAGGAAAGCGGAAUCCUGGUGUAGAGGUGAAAUUCGUAGAUAUCAGGAGGAACACCCAUGGCGAAGGCAGCUUUCUGGACUGAUACUGACGCUGAGGCGCGAAGGUGUGGGUAGCGAACAGGAUUAGAUACCCUGGUAGUCCACACAGUAAACGAUGUUCACUAGGUGUAGCGGGUAUUAAAACCUGCUGUGCCGGAGUUAACGCAUUAAGUGAACCGCCUGGGGAGUACGGUCGCAAGAUUAAAACUCAAAGGAAUUGACGGGGGCCCGCACAAGCGGUGGAGCAUGUGGUUUAAUUCGACGCAACGCGAAGAACCUUACCUGGAUUUGACAUCCUGUGAAUCCCCGAGAGAUCG
Molecule: ribosomal RNA, 391 nt
Filed under: uncultured bacterium
Lineage: Bacteria
Description: bacterial SSU rRNA
Rfam family: Bacterial small subunit ribosomal RNA
Source: RNAcentral